UCGCGCUGGGAGCUUGGGCGCCAGUGGUCCCGCUGAAGGGUUCCCUCCUCCUCCUCCUCCUCCUCCUUCUCCUCUUCCUCUUCUUGAGUCCGCCAGCUAACGCGGACUGGAACUCUCUCGGAAGAGUCUUCAAAAUCUGGGGUGGAUUUUAUACCUACAGCACAUGUCAAUUCAGAUUAGCCCUAUUUCAAGUACUCACGUGGCUAUGUGAAGGUCUAGGAUAUGCCUUUCCUAGAAGAAGUUAACUGGGAGGCCAAGAUAAUAAUCAGAAGACUCUCUGUGGAAGCACGGAGUCUUAACUACUGGACUGCCAGGGAAGCCCCAUGUUGUUAUACUCUUGAAGGUAUUCCCAUAGCCCUGAUCCUCUGAAGCUGUGAUUUGGCUUGCAAGAGGAAAGAAGCCUUCAUCACUGGCCUGGACGGAGCAGCCUGUGAUCAGAAAACCCUUUCACCCUCUGCUACUUACGCCUGGGAUUGGAAGACCCUGUGGGAUGAGCUGUCCAGGCUUUCCUGGGAUGAGGAUGGAAACCACCAGCACUUGUCUUGUUAAAACUAAACAAACAGUCAAAAGUAGCCUCAUAUGUUCCUUGGAAGACAUCUGACCUCCCUGACUGGAGGUACUUCACAAAAGAGUCCCCACGUCUCAAGCUCUGAAAUAGGAAUUGUGUGCCUGGAGGUGACUUCAUCUAUCCACCUGGUUCUCUCUUCCAUCCCCCAGCCAAUCUCUGCUCUUGUAUCUGCCUAUCCUUCUGACUUGGCGCUGGACCCAGGGGGCUGACACAGACUCAUUCAGGUGAAUGGCUGCUCAUACACCCAUCUUUCUUUGUUUCCAUGUGGCCUGGCUCCUCCAGGGCUCUCCCCUAUCCUGGGCUCCCGGGUUUUGGACUAGGAAGUGACCAGAAGCCUUGAAGGCUUGUAGGUGAAAGUGGACAAGAUGCUGGCAAGGGGUGUCCCAGAACAAUUCCCAGAAACAUGGAAGCAGGGAUGCAGGGUGAUGCAUCACUCCUCUUCCCCUCCUCCCUCAGAGCUGAGACUAUCAGCAGAGGCCAGAAAUCUUGGAGAGGAAAGUGCUGGGUGUGUGUAUGUA
Balaenoptera ricei (Rice's whale) is the source of this 1086-nucleotide long non-coding RNA. RefSeq lists it as uncharacterized. The record is from RefSeq and is a predicted model, not a curated record. The transcript is spliced from 4 exons. Lineage: Eukaryota; Metazoa; Chordata; Mammalia; Artiodactyla; Balaenopteridae.